CUCUUAGUUUUGUCUACAUUUUGGCUGUUGUUGUAUAUGUAUUUAGCCAUAGUUAAGUUCAUGAACUGUAGUUUGUUCUCACUUCACUGACAAAUUGUGUCUAGUUCUAAUUUUGUACCAUCUCAGUCAUGGAAGUGAUGUGGCUGAUCACUGGAUUGAUUCAAGGGCU
Molecule: long non-coding RNA, 169 nt
Organism: Thalassophryne amazonica
Lineage: Eukaryota; Metazoa; Chordata; Actinopteri; Batrachoidiformes; Batrachoididae
Exons: 3
Source: RefSeq, a predicted model, not a curated record